GUGUCAGCAGCCGCGGUAAUACGUAGGGGGCGAGCGUUGUCCGGAAUUAUUGGGCGUAAAGGGCGCGCAGGCGGUCUUUUAAGUCUGAUGUGAAAUCCCGCGGCUUAACCGCGGGCGGUCAUUGGAAACUGGAGGACUUGAGUGCAGAAGAGGAGAGUGGAAUUCCACGUGUAGCGGUGAAAUGCGUAGAGAUGUGGAGGAACACCAGUGGCGAAGGCGACUCUCUGGUCUGACAUUGACGCUGAGGUGCGAAAGCGUGGGUAGCAAACAGGAUUAGAAACCCCGGUAGUCC
This 292-nucleotide ribosomal RNA is filed under the name uncultured prokaryote. RNAcentral describes it as "partial 16S ribosomal RNA". It matches the Rfam family "Bacterial small subunit ribosomal RNA", at positions 505 to 796 of the family's 1533-position model. The record is from RNAcentral.